Molecule: ribosomal RNA, 496 nt
Filed under: uncultured bacterium
Lineage: Bacteria
Description: partial 16S ribosomal RNA
Rfam family: Bacterial small subunit ribosomal RNA
Source: RNAcentral
GAUGAACGCUGGCGGCGUGCCUAAUACAUGCAAGUCGAGCGAACGGACGAUAAGCUUGCGUUUCUGAUGUUAGCGGCGACGGGUGAGUAACACGUGGAUAACCGACCUAUAAGACUGGGAUAACUUCGGGAAACCGGAGCUAAUACCGGUUAAUGUUUUUAACCGCUGGGUUCAAAAGUGAAAUACGGUCUGGCGGUCACUUAUAGAUGGAUCCUCGCUGCAUUAGCUAGUUGGUAAGGUAACGGCUUACCAAGGCAACGAUGCAUAGCCGAACUGAGAGGGUGAUCGGCCACCCUGGAACUGAGACACGGUCCAGACUCCUAAGGGACGGAGCAGUAGGGAAUCUUACGCAAUGGGCGAGAGCAUGACGGAGCAACGCCGAGUGAGUGAUGACGGUCUUCGGAUCGUAAAACUCUGUUAUUAGGGAAAAACAUAUGUGUAAGUAACUGUGCACAUCUUGACGGUACCUAAUAAGAAAGCAACGGCUAACUACGUG